CAGGGGCCGAGGGACCUCGUUUAGAGGCGGCUUAGGGGGAAGGUCAGCAGUUGUGUUUCAGUUGUGUUGGGUUUUCGGCGCCCCACAAUGCGGGCGACGUAUGGGCCACAGGUGUGGAUGCCAGGGACAGGUCGCCCUGCACAUGGCUGAGGCACGGUAGGCUUGUAGUCUACCCCAUAUCAGGCCAUGGUGAUCUCAGGUAUGGGGGCCUGGGAGAGGAGAGUGAGUACAUGGCUGAGUACGUCAGAGCACGGGGUCAGGGACACAUCAGGGGAGGACGCUGGCAGGAGAAUAACCGGGCUCCUGGGUGUCCUCCGCUGAAUUCAGACGCGUUCAUGUUAGAGCAGGUGGGCCUGCGUCCUCCCGGACGAACGGAGUUCUUAGGCAAGGUCCAGAGGAGCUUCUACCUGAAGUGGUGCUGGAGAACUUUGCACUCAGUGCUGGGUGAGACCACUGGCACCAUAACUCUCCCCAGCCUCAACUCUGGUUUUUUUCCUCUGUUCUUUCCAUGUUCCCCUUGGAAGUCGCUGUUGGUCGUGGCACUGAGGCCCAGAUCAUGCCACCUCCUCUAACAAGUGGCUGAGUGGACACCCCACACAUUCUACCCAAGGGCCGUGAGUGGCCAAGAUCGGGGCUCAGAAGUCUCUGAAUCUUCACAGCUGGUCACGUUCAGCUCGGUCACUUCCUGUCUGUGUUUGUCUUGGAGUAAGGAUUAUUCUCGCUUGCUGGGGUCAUGGUGUUUUGGCCUCUCCUGGCCUGGACUCUCAAAAACUCAUCAUCCUUCAUAGGUCUGAAGGCUUCUACAUUCCCACCAGCAGGUGGACCAUAUGAACUCAAAACUAGUUGUGGCAGAGGGACCCUGAAGAGAUCUACCCCUGGUGAAUGCCCCCAGGAGUGGGCUGUUCUCACACCUGGUGCCCAGCCUGUGCCCUCGCAGGUCUUGGUGCCUCCACUCAGCUCAAUUCCAGUUUUCUGGCCAUGCCCCGCUGUGUCCCUUUCUCUCUCCUUAGUGCCUAGCUGUGCAAUGUUUGCCUCUCCUUAACAUGUCCUCAGCUGACCCCAUAUCCUCAGUCCUUGCAACCCUGUUCCUCAGUGACACCUGUGUAUUCUCUCCAGUGGAGACACAGGUGGGACACCCCCAAGCUCAUGGUACAUGCCUGUCAUCAGUACCCCUGGACUGUCAUGGUGGGUCAGUCUGCCCUAGGCUGGACUGACCAACCUGUUCAUUCCCCCACAGGAUUGCCCUUUACAGUUCAUGAGUUCCCCCAACUGGAGUGCAGACAAGAGCACUGAUUGAUGGACCAGGUAGACUUGAAACCAGGAAUAGCACAAAAGUUAUCAAAGAGGCUCAGCCAUG
Molecule: long non-coding RNA, 1357 nt
Filed under: Homo sapiens (human)
Lineage: Eukaryota; Metazoa; Chordata; Mammalia; Primates; Hominidae
Description: non-protein coding lnc-ZNF837-1:16
Source: RNAcentral